CCUUCUUUGUCAGCCUUCAUGACUGACCUAUCAAGAAAAUGUGAGUGUGCUGCACAUCGCACUGCCAGUAAUAUCUUUCUGAUAACAGACUUCUCAGCACCUCACUUGGGGGAGGUGUUGCUUCAGGACAUCCCAUUCCUAGAUGGACACAGUUAACCUAUUUCCUCUGGUCUCUUGAAGGAAGAAGCAGCCAUGUAAGCCAGGCAGAGCCUUUGACACAAACUCUGAGGCUCCAGUGAGGACACUGGGCUAUCUAGUACACAUUCAAGAAGAACGGGUACGUGGAGCAGAGUCAGUUAAAA
Molecule: long non-coding RNA, 302 nt
Organism: Octodon degus (degu)
Lineage: Eukaryota; Metazoa; Chordata; Mammalia; Rodentia; Octodontidae
Exons: 3
Source: RefSeq, a predicted model, not a curated record